CUUGGCUGCAGGCUUGAUAGGUGUCACUGGUUCUCCUGAGAGAGUGAGUGGCUGAUGACAUCUCCCAGGCCUGGAAGCCUGGCUUCCAGUAAGGAGCCUUGUUUACCAGCUCAGAACAGGAAGCUUGGGUUGGACAUUGAACAGGGGAGAUGCAUUAAAGCUUGUCUGCAGAAGGAUCCGAGUGUCCUGCGUGUAUUUCUUGCUGGCGAGAACAUACAGCGCGCGGGACAUAUGGUGCCGAAACCCGGGAACAUGUGAACAUCUCCGGCAUUGCGGAGACCCCUCUAACGGGGCGGAUUCAGAACUGCAGGGUGGUAAAUUCGGAGAGGUAUGUUUUUUCUGGACUUUGGCUUGGGAAUGUUGCUAUUUUGGGAGG
This 376-nucleotide long non-coding RNA is filed under the name Cricetulus griseus (Chinese hamster). RNAcentral's name for it is "lncRNA (ENSCGRG00015032320.1)". The record is from RNAcentral. Lineage: Eukaryota; Metazoa; Chordata; Mammalia; Rodentia; Cricetidae.